AAACCAAUAGCUCAGCUGGUUAGAGCGUGUAGCUGUUAACUACAAGGUCAUCGGUUCGAACCCGAUUUGGU
RNAcentral lists this transfer RNA (71 nucleotides) under Candidatus Riesia sp. RNAcentral describes it as "tRNA-Asn". It matches the Rfam family "tRNA". From Rfam's summary of the family: Transfer RNA (tRNA) molecules are approximately 80 nucleotides in length. Their secondary structure includes four short double-helical elements and three loops (D, anti-codon, and T loops). Further hydrogen bonds mediate the characteristic L-shaped molecular structure. tRNAs have two regions of fundamental functional importance: the anti-codon, which is responsible for specific mRNA codon recognition, and the 3' end, to which the tRNAs corresponding amino acid is attached (by aminoacyl-tRNA synthetases). tRNAs cope with the degeneracy of the genetic code in two manners: having more than one tRNA (with a specific anti-codon) for a particular amino acid; and 'wobble' base-pairing, i.e. permitting non-standard base-pairing at the 3rd anti-codon position. The record is from RNAcentral. Lineage: Bacteria; Pseudomonadati; Pseudomonadota; Gammaproteobacteria; Enterobacterales; Enterobacteriaceae.